UUCUUGUUGAAUGAUGACUCUCAUGUGUUAUGUUCUGAUUGGAUAUUAACUCCAUGAAAGAUGAAAUACUUUAAUGUUUACCAAUCAAAACAUGACACAUGACAAUCAUCAUCC
Glycine soja is the source of this 114-nucleotide non-coding RNA. The record is from Rfam. Lineage: Eukaryota; Viridiplantae; Streptophyta; Magnoliopsida; Fabales; Fabaceae.